UACGGAGGGUGCAAGCGUUAUCCGGAUUCACUGGGUUUAAAGGGUGUGUAGGCGGGUAGUUAAGUCAGUGGUGAAAUCUCCGGGCUCAACCCGGAAACUGCCAUUGAUACUAUCUAUCUUGAAUAUUGUUGAGGUAGGCGGAAUAUAUCAUGUAGCGGUGAAAUGCUUAGAUAUGAUAUAGAACACCGAUGGCGAAGGCAGCCCCCCUGGGUUAACACUGACGCUCAGGCACGAAAGCGUGGGGAGCAAACAGG
RNAcentral lists this ribosomal RNA (254 nucleotides) under uncultured bacterium. Its description in RNAcentral is "partial 16S ribosomal RNA". It matches the Rfam family "Bacterial small subunit ribosomal RNA", at positions 524 to 776 of the family's 1533-position model. The record is from RNAcentral.